GGGAACUAUUUCAAUUAGCUCCACAAGAAUUGAUCAAUUGUGUGAAGAAAGAUUAUGAAGCAUGUUAUGUAUGCUCGAUCAACGAAGGCUUUCGAUAUGCCAUACAAUAUGGCAUAAGAAGUGAGAUUGAUUGUCCUUUCCAAGCCCAAAAACACCCUUGUGUCAAUAAAGACAAGGAUUUGCCUGCCUUGAGAAUUCAAAGCUUCAAGAACAUAGACAAAGAAGAUGAGGAUGGCAUAAUUGAAGUUCUGAAGAAACAUCCUCUAGGGUAUAUACGAAGAACCCAAUGAGAUUCUUACCAAAGUUGCAAAUCAUUCCGUAUUGCUAAUGGGAUGUGGUACAGAUAAGGAGACGGGGAAGAAUUUCUGGGUGAUUCAAAAUUCUUGGGGUAAAAGUUGGGGCAUGAAUGGUUAUGCCAAAGUCAUGCGUAGUUCAAGUCUUCCUACUGGAUCACGACCUAUCCUAUCUAGAUUAUCAUACCCAGAAGAUGUGGACAAAUUUGUGUGUUCAAAAGAACAGAUAAUUGAGUACUGUCCCACUAGAGAGUAGAUUAUGUAAUAGUUCCUUAUGUGUCUUCUUUAGGUAAUAUAAUAGUAUAGAUACUUAUAUAAUAGUAUAGAUACUUAUGUUGUAAAGACAGUGUAUGUGAAAAUUGUGUGCACGUACUUUUACUAAUUUGACAUUUAAAUGAGUAUACAAGUUCUUUUAUUUUGGUGGUAGUUGUCUGUAAUGAAAGUUUAACUGGGCAGUGUAGUUUAUAAUUUGGUAUUUCAAAAUACCAAAUUGAUUUUAGUAAAAAUAUUAGUUGGCUAUUUCUAGCUGUUGAGUAAUUAGGAGUAGUUUGGUUUCUCAUGUGGGUAGCGAAGGAAACUCUCUUCCUCAUUG
Long non-coding RNA from Camellia sinensis, 885 nucleotides. RefSeq lists it as uncharacterized. NCBI's taxonomy places the organism in Eukaryota, Viridiplantae, Streptophyta, Magnoliopsida, Ericales, Theaceae. The record is from RefSeq and is a predicted model, not a curated record.